GAGAGAGAGAGCUACAUUAGGUCAAGGGGUCUGAGAAAGGGAGAACUUGUUGAGACGCCAAUAAACUAAUGUCUGAUACAUUAGAGAUGUCUGAGUGACCCAUGCUCACCUUAGUACAGGUGUAGUACAGGUAGAACUCACCUUAGUACAGGUGUAGUACAGGUAGAACUCACCUUAGUACAGGUGUAGUACAGGUAGAACUCACCAUAGUACAGGUGUAGUACAGGUGUAGUACAGGUAGAACUCACCUUAGUACAGGUGUAGUACAGGUGUAGUACAGGUAGAACUCACCUUAGUACAGGUGUAGUACAGGUAGAACUCACCAUAGUACAGGUGUAGUACAGGUAGAACUCACCUUAGUACAGGUGUAGUACAGGUAGAACUCACCAUAGUACAGGUGUAGUACAGGUAGAACUCACCAUAACAGGUGUAGUACAGGUGUAGUACAGGUAGAACUCACCAUAACAGGUGUAGUACAGGUAGAACUCACCAUAACAGGUGUAGUACAGGUAGAACUCACCAUAGCAGGUGUAGUACAGGUGUAGUACAGGUAGAACUCACCAUAGUACAGGUGUAGUACAGGUAGAACUCACCUUAGUACAGGUGUAGUACAGGUAUAGUACAGGUAGAACUCACCAUAGUACAGGUGUAGUACAGGUAUAGUACAGGUAGAACUCACCAUAACAAGUGUAGUACAGGUAUAGUACAGGUAGAACUCACCUUAGUACAGGUGUAGUACAGGUGUAGUACAGGUAUAGUACAGGUAGAACUCACCAUAACAAGUGUAGUACAGGUAUAGUACAGGUAGAACUCACCUUAGUACAGGUGUAGUACAGGUAGAACUCACCUAUAGUACAGGUAGAACUCAGUCAGUUCAUUAAUAUUUCCAUUUAAACCCAAAUCAAACGAUACCUCUGACUCACCUGUACCUGCCUGUUGAUGGCCUUUAAUAAGAGGCUCCACCCAGUGGUCAGACUCAGGACUGCAGGUCCAUUCAUGUCCCCAGUGGUCUUCUGUGUGCCUGACUGAGUCUGGUGUGUGUGUGUGUGUGUGUGUGUGUGUGUUGUGUGUGUGUGUGUGUGUGUGUGUGUGUGUGUGUGUGUGUGUGUGUGUGUGUGUG
This is a long non-coding RNA of Perca fluviatilis (European perch), 1120 nucleotides long. RefSeq lists it as uncharacterized. NCBI's taxonomy places the organism in Eukaryota, Metazoa, Chordata, Actinopteri, Perciformes, Percidae. The transcript is spliced from 5 exons. The record is from RefSeq and is a predicted model, not a curated record.